RNAcentral lists this ribosomal RNA (855 nucleotides) under uncultured bacterium. RNAcentral's name for it is "bacterial SSU rRNA". It matches the Rfam family "Bacterial small subunit ribosomal RNA", at positions 1 to 848 of the family's 1533-position model. RNAcentral also lists the same sequence under 1 other name. The record is from RNAcentral.
GGAUCCAGACUUUGAUCCUGGCUCCCGAUGAACGCUAGCUACAGGCUUAACACAUGCAAGUCGAGGGGCAGCGGGAUUGAAGCUUGCUUCAAUUGCCGGCGACCGGCGCACGGGUGAGUAACGCGUAUCCAACCUUCCGUACACUCAGGGAUAGCCUUUCGAAAGAAAGAUUAAUACCUGAUGGUAUGAUGAGAUUGCAUGAUAGCAUCAUUAAAGAUUUAUCGGUGUACGAUGGGGAUGCGUUCCAUUAGGUAGUAGGCGGGGUAACGGCCCACCUAGCCGACGAUGGAUAGGGGUUCUGAGAGGAAGGUCCCCCACAUUGGAACUGAGACACGGUCCAAACUCCUACGGGAGGCAGCAGUGAGGAAUAUUGGUCAAUGGACGAGAGUCUGAACCAGCCAAGUAGCGUGAAGGAUGAAGGUCCUACGGAUUGUAAACUUCUUUUAUAAGGGAAUAAACCCUUCCACGUGUGGGAGCUUGUAUGUACCUUAUGAAUAAGCAUCGGCUAACUCCGUGCCAGCAGCCGCGGUAAUACGGAGGAUGCGAGCGUCAUCCGGAUUUAUUGGGUUUAAAGGGAGCGCAGACGGGUCGUUAAGUCAGCUGUGAAAGUUUGGGGCUCAACCUUAAAAUUGCAGUUGAUACUGGCGUCCUUGAGUGCGGUUGAGGUGUGCGGAAUUCGUGGUGUAGCGGUGAAAUGCUUAGAUAUCACGAAGAACUCCGAUUGCGAAGGCAGCACACUAAGCCGUAACUGACGUUCAUGCUCGAAAGUGUGGGUAUCAAACAGGAUUAGAUACCCUGGUAGUCCACACGGUAAACGAUGGAUACUCGCUGUUGGCGAUAUACUGUCAAGCGGCU